GACGAACGCUGGCGGCGUGCCUAAUACAUGCAAGUAGAACGCUGAAGGAGGAGCUUGCUUCUCUGGAUGAGUUGCGAACGGGUGAGUAACGCGUAGGUAACCUGCCUGGUAGCGGGGGAUAACUAUUGGAAACGAUAGCUAAUACCGCAUAAGAGUAGAUGUUGCAUGACAUUUGCUUAAAAGGUGCAAUUGCAUCACUACCAGAUGGACCUGCGUUGUAUUAGCUAGUUGGUGAGGUAACGGCUCACCAACGCGACGAUACAUAGACGACCUGAGAGGGGGAUCGGCCACACUGGGACUGGGACACGGCCCAGACUCCUACGGGAGGCAGCAGGAGGGAAUCUUCGGCAAUGGACGGAAGGCUGACCGAGCAACGCCGCGUGAGUGAAGAAGGGUUUCGGAUCGGAAAGCUCUGUUGUAAGAGAAGAACGAGUGUGAGAGUGGAAAGUUCACACUGUGACGGUACCUUACCAGAAAGGGACGGCUAACUACGUG
This 495-nucleotide ribosomal RNA is filed under the name uncultured bacterium. RNAcentral describes it as "partial 16S ribosomal RNA". It matches the Rfam family "Bacterial small subunit ribosomal RNA", at positions 28 to 507 of the family's 1533-position model. The record is from RNAcentral.